This 253-nucleotide ribosomal RNA is filed under the name uncultured bacterium. RNAcentral's name for it is "partial 16S ribosomal RNA". It matches the Rfam family "Bacterial small subunit ribosomal RNA", at positions 524 to 776 of the family's 1533-position model. The record is from RNAcentral.
UACGUAGGUGGCAAGCGUUAUCCGGAAUUAUUGGGCGUAAAGAGCGCGCAGGUGGUUAAUUAAGUCUGAUGUGAAAGCCCACGGCUUAACCGUGGAGGGUCAUUGGAAACUGGUUGACUUGAGUGCAGAAGAGGGAAGUGGAAUUCCAUGUGUAGCGGUGAAAUGCGUAGAGAUAUGGAGGAACACCAGUGGCGAAGGCGGCUUCUUGGUCUGCAACUGACACUGAGGCGCGAAAGCGUGGGGAGCAAACAGG